Molecule: transfer RNA, 95 nt
Filed under: Armillaria solidipes
Lineage: Eukaryota; Fungi; Basidiomycota; Agaricomycetes; Agaricales; Physalacriaceae
Rfam family: tRNA
About the family: Transfer RNA (tRNA) molecules are approximately 80 nucleotides in length. Their secondary structure includes four short double-helical elements and three loops (D, anti-codon, and T loops). Further hydrogen bonds mediate the characteristic L-shaped molecular structure. tRNAs have two regions of fundamental functional importance: the anti-codon, which is responsible for specific mRNA codon recognition, and the 3' end, to which the tRNAs corresponding amino acid is attached (by aminoacyl-tRNA synthetases). tRNAs cope with the degeneracy of the genetic code in two manners: having more than one tRNA (with a specific anti-codon) for a particular amino acid; and 'wobble' base-pairing, i.e. permitting non-standard base-pairing at the 3rd anti-codon position.
Source: Rfam by way of RNAcentral
UCCCUCUUAGCUCAGUUGGUAGAGCGCGUCACUAGUAUAUCGAAAUGCUUUAAUGCGAUAUGACGAGGUCAGUCGUUCAAAUCGGCUAGUGGGAA